GCCCCGAGCAUAUCAGAACGUAGCCCACUUGAGUACCAAAGCUGUCAGAUUCAUUUUAGUCUACUCCCCACCUAAAUGACAUUAGUUUAUGUUACAUCACAAAAGGGCCAACAAUAAGUCAGUAGUGCUUGGAAGCGUCUAACAAACAAAUUCUGUGAGGCAAAAUAGAUUUUACUGGGAGCCCACAGGAAUCAACUUAAUGGCAGCAGCGAUGGGCAUGCUGAUGAAUCCGAU
RNAcentral lists this unclassified non-coding RNA (234 nucleotides) under Hevea brasiliensis (rubber tree). Lineage: Eukaryota; Viridiplantae; Streptophyta; Magnoliopsida; Malpighiales; Euphorbiaceae. The record is from RNAcentral.